Molecule: non-coding RNA, 21 nt
Filed under: Caenorhabditis elegans
Lineage: Eukaryota; Metazoa; Nematoda; Chromadorea; Rhabditida; Rhabditidae
Source: RNAcentral
UGAGAAACAUUUUUAGAACAA